RNAcentral lists this ribosomal RNA (403 nucleotides) under Verrucomicrobiota bacterium. RNAcentral describes it as "Verrucomicrobia bacterium partial 16S ribosomal RNA". It matches the Rfam family "Bacterial small subunit ribosomal RNA", at positions 355 to 776 of the family's 1533-position model. Lineage: Bacteria; Pseudomonadati; Verrucomicrobiota. The record is from RNAcentral.
UGGGGAAUAUUGCACAAUGGGCGCAAGCCUGAUGCAGCAACGCCGCGUGAACGAUGAAGGUCUUCGGAUCGUAAAGUUCUUUUGCAGGGGAAGAUAAUGACGGUACCCUGUGAGGAAGCCCCGGCUAACUACGUGCCAGCAGCCGCGGUAAUACGCAGGGGGCUAGCGUUAUCCGGAUUUACUGGGCGUAAAGGGUCCGUAGGUGGUCUUUCAAGUCGGUGGUUAAAGGCUACGGCUCAACCGUAGUUAGCCUCCGAAACUGGAAGAAUUGAGUGCAGGAGAGGAAAGUGGAAUUCCCAGUGUAGCGGUGAAAUGCGUAGAUAUUGGGAGGAACACCAGUAGCGAAGGCGGCUUUCUGGACUGCAACUGACACUGAGGCACGAAAGCGUGGGUAGCAAACAGG